RNAcentral lists this long non-coding RNA (493 nucleotides) under Homo sapiens (human). RNAcentral's name for it is "non-protein coding lnc-SFT2D3-2:5". Lineage: Eukaryota; Metazoa; Chordata; Mammalia; Primates; Hominidae. The record is from RNAcentral.
UUAUCUGUAAAAUGGGGAUUAUAGCAUUCCUGCCUCAUAGGGAUGUUAUGAGAUUUAAAUACCAAUAAGUCUGUACAUUAUAAACCUUAUCAGAUUGGUGUGGUGAAAAUGCUCAGUAACUGAGCCUCGUGAGCAUUAGAAUGUUGAGAUCAGCAUGAAGUUAGCCUGUAUACUGGGCAUACACAUUCUUCUGGAUUUGCUCCUUUUGUGAGCAAUCAAUGAUGAGCUAAAGGCAUUUGCUAACUAGUAGGAAUGAAAUAAGGUUUCAGACAGGAUCUUGGUGGGUGAUGUAGAUUUUAUCUGUCCCAUUUGUCCCAUUUCUCAACUGGAAGUGAGUCUGGCCUUGGUCUGCAUCUGUGCUCUCCCCUUCACAAAAGGCAGGCCCAGAGAGACUCCAGAGAUGGCCCCUGUCUCCUGUGUGUCCUCCGCCGCUGUGUCCACUUGGGCACGUCAAAGGAGGCCUUGAUGUGCAGACGCGAUGGGGCAACGAUGA